Molecule: ribosomal RNA, 488 nt
Filed under: Veillonella dispar
Lineage: Bacteria; Bacillati; Bacillota; Negativicutes; Veillonellales; Veillonellaceae
Description: bacterial SSU rRNA
Rfam family: Bacterial small subunit ribosomal RNA
Source: RNAcentral
GACGAACGCUGGCGGCGUGCUUAACACAUGCAAGUCGAACGAAGAGCGAUGGAAGCUUGCUUCUAUCAAUCUUAGUGGCGAACGGGUGAGUAACGCGUAAUCAACCUGCCCUUCAGAGGGGGACAACAGUUGGAAACGACUGCUAAUACCGCAUACGAUCUAACCUUGGCAUCGAGGAUGGAUGAAAGGUGGCCUCUAUUUAUAAGCUAUCACUGAAGGAGGGGAUUGCGUCUGAUUAGCUAGUUGGAGGGGUAACGGCCCACCAAGGCGAUGAUCAGUAGCCGGUCUGAGAGGAUGAACGGCCACAUUGGGACUGAGACACGGCCCAGACUCCUACGGGAGGCAGCAGUGGGGAAUCUUCCGCAAUGGACGAAAGUCUGACGGAGCAACGCCGCGUGAGUGAUGACGGCCUUCGGGUUGUAAAGCUCUGUUAAUCGGGACGAAAGGCCUUCUUGCGAAUAGUGAGAAGGAUUGACGGUACCGGAAUA